Molecule: transfer RNA, 58 nt
Filed under: Shewanella sp. CG_4_10_14_3_um_filter_42_91
Lineage: Bacteria; Pseudomonadati; Pseudomonadota; Gammaproteobacteria; Alteromonadales; Shewanellaceae
Description: tRNA-Pro
Rfam family: tRNA
About the family: Transfer RNA (tRNA) molecules are approximately 80 nucleotides in length.
Source: RNAcentral
CGGUGAUUAGCGCAGCCCGGUAGCGCAUCUCGUUUGGGACGAGAGGGUCAGAGGUUCG